Talpa occidentalis (Iberian mole) is the source of this 1056-nucleotide long non-coding RNA. RefSeq lists it as uncharacterized. The transcript has 9 exons. The record is from RefSeq and is a predicted model, not a curated record. NCBI's taxonomy places the organism in Eukaryota, Metazoa, Chordata, Mammalia, Eulipotyphla, Talpidae.
GGCAGAAGGACCGAAGUACACUGCUGAGGGGAGCAGCGGCGGCAAGAGAGACUCAAUCAAAUGUCUCUCUUCUCACCAUGGAUCAAAGCUAUUUUUGUCAUCUUGUUCUUUACUCUCUAUUCUGAAACAGCUCUUUUUAGGCCAUCAAAUUACAGAGCUUUGCCAAUCUGCAGAGAAGACAGUUAUCCAUAUAUGUGCUCAAAAAAAUGUUUUCCCUUGUGUGCCACCAAUGGCCUUACUUACUGCAAUAGAUGUAUUUUCUGCAUUGCAAUCAGAUCAAAUUGUCCCAAAACUCCUGCUGAGAAGAAAUCUACUCGGACAUCUUCGUGAUGGGGGCCCAGAUUACCUCAGAGUCUUAUCUGUGGGACCAUCCAGCUCACCUCAUAUAGCUCUUUACCAACAGGCCAUUCAUGGAGACUCCUCAGACUUCAGUCAGGUGGAGGUUCAAGAAGAAAGGGCAAACACAAUAGGCAGUGUCUGCAAAGCUCUAGCCCCCACUCUCCACUGCCCUCUGGGUCAGAACGUGGUAAGAUGUCCCUCGCGUCUUCAUGGAUCAAAAUGACUUUUGUCCUUGCCUUGGUAUCUCCUCUUCAAUCUGGCCUGAAUUGUCGUUCACCUCACUCGAUCAUAGACUGCAAAGCGUUUAAAAAUGAUUAUUCAAUUUGCAACAUAUUGCCUGACCCAGUCUGCGCGACUGAUCGCAAAACUUACUCGAAUAUAUGCGUUUUCUGCAGUGAAAAGUUACUAAACAAAGGAAUAUUUGAAUUUCGUCAUUAUGGUUCAUGUGUCAGUGCCUGAUCUAGGCAUUCCUAUGAUUUAUUACUAUCCUAUUGUGCAGUAGAAUCUACAAUCAAAAUCUUCUCAGCCUGGUCUUUAAAUUCCUAGAUGAUCAGGCAACCCUUUCUAAGAUACACACGAUGUGCCACAAGAUGACAAAGAAUAUUUCCAACUCUAACAAUCUGUGAUUAAAAGAUUUUUAUUCUCUAUGUUCAAUUAUUCAAUGACCCUAUCUUAAUGGUGUGUUUUAAUAAAAGCUAAUUUACAAGCAUAAAUUUG